UAGGGAAUCUUCCACAAUGGGCGAAAGCCUGAUGGAGCAACGCCGCGUGUGUGAUGAAGGCUUUCGGGUCGUAAAGCACUGUUGUAUGGGAAGAACAGCUAGAAUAGGAAAUGAUUUUAGUUUGACGGUACCAUACCAGAAAGGGCGGCUAAAUACGNGCCAG
RNAcentral lists this ribosomal RNA (163 nucleotides) under uncultured bacterium. RNAcentral describes it as "partial 16S ribosomal RNA". It matches the Rfam family "Bacterial small subunit ribosomal RNA", at positions 355 to 511 of the family's 1533-position model. The record is from RNAcentral.